Molecule: ribosomal RNA, 253 nt
Filed under: uncultured bacterium
Lineage: Bacteria
Description: partial 16S ribosomal RNA
Rfam family: Bacterial small subunit ribosomal RNA
Source: RNAcentral
GACGUAGGGGGCGAGCGUUGUCCGGAUUUAUUGGGCGUAAAGCGCGCGUAGGCGGCCCGUUUAGUCGGGUGUGAAAAUCCGGGGCUCAACCCCGGACUUGCAUCCGAUACUGGCGGGCUGGAGGCAGACAGGGGAGAGCGGAAUUCCUGGUGUAGCGGUGAAAUGCGCAGAUAUCAGGAGGAACACCGGUGGCGAAGGCGGCUCUCUGGGUCUGUCCUGACGCUCAGGCGCGAAAGCUAGGGGAGCAAACAGG